Molecule: ribosomal RNA, 373 nt
Filed under: uncultured organism
Description: partial 16S ribosomal RNA
Rfam family: Bacterial small subunit ribosomal RNA
Source: RNAcentral
GUAGGUGGCAAGCGUUGUCCGGAAUUAUUGGGCGUAAAGCGCGCGCAGGCGGUUUUUUAAGUCUGAUGUGAAAGCCCACGGCUCAACCGUGGAGGGUCAUUGGAAACUGGAGAACUUGAGUACAGAAGAGGAAAGCGGAAUUCCACGUGUAGCGGUGAAAUGCGUAGAGAUGUGGAGGAACACCAGUGGCGAAGGCGGCUUUCUGGUCUGUAACUGACGCUGAGGCGCGAAAGCGUGGGGAGCAAACAGGGAUUAGAUACCCUGGUAGUCCACGCCGUAAACGAUGAGUGCUAAGUGUUAGGGGGUUUCCCGCCCCUUAGUGCUGCAGCUAACGCAUUAAGCACCCCGCCUGGGGAGUACGGCCGCAAGGCUG